GGUGUGACCCUCAUCGCCCCCUGCACAUGGAGCCCUCCCAAUACCAGCCCACAGCUUUGUACAAGAGCCUCUUCAUUCACCCAGCCUGUGUGUGCCCCAUCUUUCUUGCUGAGACUCUAACUCCUCCACCCCUGUCUCCUGAGUGACUUGCCUAGAGCACCCCUCCCCUGGCUUGGUUGGGAAUUCACAACAGCAGGGAUGUUUUCGAGGUCAUUGAACCCAGUGUGCAGCUUGUAGGAUCAGCACGGGGGGUGGUAGAAGGUUGGGGUAAUAAACUCUGAGAAGGUGUCUGACCCCAAUGGUUUUCGAAAGUGGGGUAUUUUACCCCUGCCUAUCCUUAGAUCGAUGUCCUGGAGCCAAAUUCCAAAUCAGCAGCCACAUGAAAAGUCCCACCUCGUUGUGGGAUUAAACUGUUAGGCCAGCCUUUGUGACCAGAGCAAUUGCAAAAUGUGGGGGAGGAAAUUCAAAGCCUACUGCAUGGGUCACCAUGUGGCCUGGGCUAAUGUGUGCGUGCGUGUGCAUGCGUGCGUGUGUGUAUGUGUGUGUUUAUGUCUGUGUUGAGUUGUCACAUCUGUGUUCCAAGGAGACUGCUGAGGGGGAAGGGCAGUCCCCACAGACACCGAGCAGAUACCUGGAGACAGAAGGGCUUUGGGUGGGUGGCCAGCCUGGAGGAAGCAAAGGGAAGAGAGGCUGCCAGGAGGUCCAGCUAAUGGAAGGAGAUGGGCUUAGGGAUGGCAGGAAGAGAUGGGGAGUGGGGCGAGGGCCCGGUGUGGGCGUGCUUCAUGGCCCAAUUCAAUUAAGCUCCCUAUUCUUAAUUUCCUACUAAAUCCGGGCCUGCCAGCUCUGUGGACUCCUUUCUACUCCCCUCAUGCCUCAUUCUCCUUCCUUUUCCCCAGCUCCUCUCCCUCCAUACUCCUCAUUUUCCUCCUCUUUUUGCCCCUCGGUCCCAGAAUUCCUGGGAACAAAGGGAAGCAAACGGGGACGGUCAGAGCAUCAGACCCAGGCCUUCAGCUGGAGCAGCGGCUCACUCCCUUCCCCACCUCCCUUCCCGGGCUGGGCGUCUACAGCACUAGGUCCCCGGUUAGCGGACGCUGCCCUGCUGCCCCCUGGUGGCCAGAGUGGCUGCAGCUGCAGGAACGGGGACUGAGGUCCACACCUCUGCCUGCGGGGCGAUGAAAGAAAAAUGAAAAAAAAAAAAAUAAAUAAAAAAAAUAAAAAUAAAAAUAAAAAAAAGAAAGAAAAAUGAUCCUGCUGGCAGCCAGGGUGCUGGAGAGUGCCGGGGGGGGGGGUUAGGACGGAGAAUUGAAAUGGAGAAAACACAGUUUGCAAAACAUAUUGUGACUUGCAAAACAGGUAAUGGAGCUUCAUCAAGCCAUGAUGCCCACCGCAGACGAUCUGAGCUCACCCUUAUAAACACCUGUGUACUUAGACUCACAGGUUCCAGAAGAAUACAAACUGAUCUAAUAGUAACACUCCUCGAGGACUCCUGUGCUCCCAACAUGGGAUUGCUGACUGCUCCAACAACUCCCUGUUCUGCAAAUUCUGACCAACCUCUGCCAAAGACUCUCCCUUGACUACCUCCUGCAACACCCCCCCCCCACAAUCCCAUAAGUACCCUUCUCUAACUCCUUGCUUUAGAGACACCCCCAGGGGUCCUACAGUGUGAGGUCUUUGCUGCAGCAGAUGAUAAGCCCAGGCUUGCUGGCUUCAGGUGUGUUCCUGGUGGAGCAGGCUGCCCUCACUGACAAGAGAUUCCUGGGUGAGAAGGUGACAUGUCAGCUCUCCACUCCAGCCUGCCCACCCCCAUGGGCUCUCAGGGACUGCCCCAUCUAGAGCCCCGCAACCCUGAACCGACCCAUCAUGGUGCACUCUGGCACCAGGACAAAGUGCCACACUGUAUUUUUUUCCCUCAGGGGAAGCACACCAUGUCCAGCAUUUGGCUCUGUAAAGGCAGGAUUGAGGGGCGGACAGAGCUGCGCCAUGUUCAGAGUGUUGCCUCUACCAGCCUCCCCAGCUUGAGGUUUCAAAGACACAGACUGGGCCCUCUCUGGUUCUUUGGGGGGCAGGAGGGUUGUCCCCAAAGAUGGUGUCAUGAUGUCCCCUAGCCUUGUGUGUCCCUGUGGCCUCCUGUCUACCUUCCAGGCCUGGAUGGGGUUCCCCACCUUCACUGGCUGUCAGGAAGACACCCAAGCUCUGGGUUCGAGGACACAGCUGGGUGUUUGGGAGAGGGGCUAGAGGCCCUCCUAAGGGGCUUACAGAUCUGAGGGUGGACCUAGGCCCCAAGGACCAGCUCCAGUCCGGGAGCUCUGCUGAAGGGAAGCCAGAAUCUUCUCCCUCUCUAAGGGUGAGGACUCCAAAAAGAUCUGUAUAUGCCCCGCAAGAGUCCUCUCUGCACCCUAACAUCAUUUGCCCCAUCUCCCCCAGCUCAGGGAAGGAGAGAUCACUUUCUCCUGGCAUCGCUUCCCCCUGAGGGAGAGCCCUCCUCCCUGUCUUCCCAGCUUGGCCUGAGGGGCACACAGAAUAUUUGCCCUCAGCCUAGCUCAGCCAUGAGAGGGAGGGUAUGACCAUGACCCUGAGUUCGUCUUUCUUGGGCCCUUGCCCCCAGUCCUGCCCCAUUCCAGUGCCUCUACACACCCUCAGAGCCCCGGACCCCUGGGUGCCCCUAGAAGUCCUUGCCUCCUCACGGGGUAGCCUCUAAGACUGGACUCCUCCUCCGGGAAGGUGUGACCAAGCUCAGCUGGUCCUCCUAGCACCCCUUGUGACUACCUCUGGGCAGAAGUCAGGGUUCACCCACUGCCCAUGAGAUGUCUAUAAUUUGGAUCCCACUAGCACAUUAGUAGGUAAAAUGCAUCUGACUCUCAUCAUGUGGAAGGGGAAGCCCAAGUGCAGGGAGUGGGCAGUACAAAGGUGAGCCAGCCUUCCAAGUCCCACCCUCACAUCUUCACUGCAUCUGCAGCCCUCACCCACAAGCUUUUCCUCCACCUAUAUCCAAGUGCCUUCUUUUCACGAUACUUAGAAACCACAUAAACCUUAGGCUGUUUACAUUUGAAUCUUGGCUCUGCUACUCAUAAAUCAGAUGAUUUUGGGCACUUUGGUUUCCUCAUAUAAGAUUCAUAUUUUAUUUGAACUCUGUCUUUUCCUACUAGGGUGAGGUCUCCCAGGGAACAGGGGGCCUUGUACUUUUGUCACUGAUUUAUCCUCAGUGCCCAGAACAGUGCCUGGCACAUGGUACACAAUUGUUGAAUGAAUGAAUGAAUGAAUGAAUGAAUGAAUAGCAGCUCAAAGUGAGGAAUGAGAUAAACUCUAUAAACUGUUUUGCAGAAUAUCUAGUACCAAUGGGUACUCAUUAGAUGUUAACUCCUUUCCUUUGCAAAACAAGUCAAAUUAAUCAUUUCAUGUAAGGUUCACAAUGGCUCUUUGAGGCAAAAACAUUACCAUUGAUUCAUUCCUCCAUUUAUUCAAGAAAUAUUUACCAAGAGACUACUAUAUCCCAGGUACUGUCAUUGUAGAUAGUUGGAAAUCAUCAAUGAAUAAAAAACAAAGACCUUUCCCUCGUGGAGUUUACAUUCAAGGGGGGGAUGAGAGAGACAAAAGCACCAGACUUAAAUGUAAAUUCCAUGGCAUGCUAGAAAGGGAACAGCAGAGCAGAAAGAGGGAUUGGAAGAGUGGGAAAGUUGGGAGUAAGGGGUGGGGUGGAUAUGAUUUUAAAGAGAACAGUCAGGUGAAGCUCAGGAGGGACCCAAAAGAGAGAAUUUGAGCAGACUUGAAGGAGUGGGAGUUAACAGAGGGGGUCUCUCAGGGAAGAGUUUCCCAGACAGAGGGGAGUGUAAAUGGUCCCACUACCUGCGUAAGGAGGCAGUGGCUGGGGUGGAGGAAGGAGGAGUGGAGGCCAGAGAUGAGGGGAAUCUGGUAGGACAUGGAAUGAGGCAGAAAGUAAUGAGAGAGUUACAAUCUGGCUUAUAUUUUAGAAGGAUCUAGCUAGGGGUGCCUGGGUGGCUCAGUCGGUUAAGCAGCUGACUCUUAAUCUGACUCAUGACUCAGGUCAUGAUCUCAGGCUCAUGGGAUGGAACCCCAUGUUGGCUCCACACUCAGUAUGGAGUCUGCUUGAGAUUCUCUCUGCCCCUCCCCCCACUCAUGCAUGUUCUCUUUUUCUCUCUCUAAAAUAAAAACAAAUAAAAAAAUAAAAAA
RNAcentral lists this long non-coding RNA (4188 nucleotides) under Canis lupus familiaris (dog). RNAcentral's name for it is "lncRNA (ENSCAFG00845008771.1)". Lineage: Eukaryota; Metazoa; Chordata; Mammalia; Carnivora; Canidae. The record is from RNAcentral.